Leopardus geoffroyi (Geoffroy's cat) is the source of this 1519-nucleotide long non-coding RNA. RefSeq lists it as uncharacterized. The transcript has 7 exons. Lineage: Eukaryota; Metazoa; Chordata; Mammalia; Carnivora; Felidae. The record is from RefSeq and is a predicted model, not a curated record.
GUUAAUGUUAAAAGUUAUUUAUUGACUCUUUGAUGGGUGGGGCCUUGUGUUUCUGUGGUACCUCCCCAGAAAGUCCUGCGCUCACAUCUAAAAACAAAGCUUCGGGCUAUCCCAGCUCUUCCCAGCUCGCUGUGUGGAAAGCUAACAUGGCCUUGAGCGCUGGGCUAGACUUGGCUGGGAAACCUCCUUCUCCUGUCUGGGGUGUGAUUCUAGCCAGCUCAGGAGCCCAGGUGAUCCCGCAUGGUUGGGGACCAAGAAGACGUAGUUUGUGAAUCCAGGUUAAGCAGUCACUGGCUGUACCCACGAAAACUCCAGAAAGUGCCGCCAUCCUUGAGAAAAAUCUGCCUUCAGACUGACCGAGGUGCUGAUCGAUCCUUUCCGCCAAGGAGCUCCGGGAAGUGGGAAACUUUUGCCAGAGGACAGACUGCAGAAGGAUCCAAGAGUCACCUUUGCUCAGGUUUCCGCUGGAAUGAACUUACUCGAAAAACAGAAUAGGACUUCGGAAAAGAGAAGAAAAUAGGGGGAAAGCAAUAACUUAUAAAAAGAAGAAUAGAAAGGACAAAAAAAAAGUGAAAUAAAUUAAAGUCACAAAGAUGGAAAGGAUAACACGGAGUUGCCAGAGGCUCAUUCUAGAUGCUGCAACGUGAACAGACCACAGGAAGAAACAGCAGACGGUGAUUGGGUGGCUCCUGUGUAAUCCAGAGAAACCUCCCAGGUUGCCAGAGCCAGGUUUGCUUGUUCCCUACGGCUUUGACCAAACCCAGAUGCCCUGGCCCAGAUAAUGAACUUGGUAAAUGUUAGCAUUCGUUUGCAAAUUGUCUUCUCCUCCAUCAAAGAGAUGGGGACUGAGACCUGGAAAUACAUAAAAGCUUAAAGGCUAGGACCCGCCACCGACUGAGAAUCCACGUAAGUGAUGCAAAACUCCUCUAAAAUUAUCAUGCACUGUUCUCCACUCCUCCGAUUUGGUUCCCUUCUCCAGAACAUGAAGAUUUCUUACAGAGAUUACUUUAUCUUUGCCUUUACAAAAUCAGUUUUGAGGAAUUUCUGGCUCAUCAAGAGAAGCAGCCAUGACAUUGGGGUCAUCCUCCAGACAAAUAUCUCAUCUCGCCUGAUGAAAUCAGGAAGGUGCUUCUGGUGUCCAAGGGAUGAAUGUCUCAUCUCCUGGGAGGGGACUGAAGUCCUCAGCCAGGGGAAGCCAGAACAUCUGUUACAGGCAUGAUCCAGCCUGCUGGCUGAGCGGAAUCUACGGAGGCACUUAGAAUAAAGCCUUGGGUCUUCAUCAGAAGACAUUGCCGUGGUCAUCAAGCCAUUUGCAAUGGAAUCCAGGAUGCGCUCAUAGGGACUAAAUACGCUUAUGAAAAAAUGGUUAUUAGUAUAAUAGUGGGUCCAGAAAGCUCACUGCCUCAGGCACUGACUUUCCUUUGGCUCAUUUGAAAAAAAAAAGAUGGGGCACCUGGGUGGCUCAGUCGGUUAAGCGGCCGACUUCGGCUCAGGUCAUGACCUCGCAGUCCGUGAGUUC